UGCCAGCCGCCGCGGUAACACGUAUGGGGCGAGCGUUGUUCGGAAUCAUUGGGCGUAAAGGGCGCGCAGGCGGUUAUACAAGCCUGGUGUGAAAGAUCGCAGCUCAACUGCGGGACCGCACUGGGAACUGUAUGACUGGAGUUCAAGAGGGGAAGCUGGAAUUCCUGGUGUAGGGGUGAAAUCUGUAGAUAUCAGGAAGAACAUCAGUGGCGAAGGCGAGCUUCUGGCCAGAUACUGACGCUGAGAUGCGAAAGCGUGGGGAGCGAACAGGAUUAGAUA
RNAcentral lists this ribosomal RNA (279 nucleotides) under uncultured bacterium. RNAcentral's name for it is "partial 16S ribosomal RNA". It matches the Rfam family "Bacterial small subunit ribosomal RNA", at positions 506 to 784 of the family's 1533-position model. The record is from RNAcentral.